RNAcentral lists this ribosomal RNA (494 nucleotides) under uncultured bacterium. RNAcentral describes it as "partial 16S ribosomal RNA". It matches the Rfam family "Bacterial small subunit ribosomal RNA", at positions 28 to 507 of the family's 1533-position model. The record is from RNAcentral.
GACGAACGCUGGCGGCGUGCUUGACACAUGCAAGUCGAACGGAAAGGCCUGCUUUCCCUUGUGGAUUGCGGGUACUCGAGUGGCGAACGGGUGAGUAACACGUGAGUGAUCUGCCCCCAACUUGGGUAUAAGCCUGGGAAACUGGGUCUAAUUCCCGAUAGGACUGCAGGGUGGUGCCUGUGGUGGAAAACGAUUUUCUAGUGGUUGGGGAUGAGCUCGCGGCCUAUCAGCUUGUUGGUGGGGUAAUGGCCUACCAAGGCGGCGACGGGUAGCCGGCCUGAGAGGGUGGACGGCCACAUUGGGACUGAGAUACGGCCCAGACUCCUACGGGAGGCGGCAGUGGGGAAUAUUGCACAAUGGGCGGAAGCCUGAUGCAGCGACGCCGCGUGGGGGAUGACGGCCUUCGGGUUGUAAACUCCUUUCGACCGCGAGGAAGCCACCUGGUUGGAAGGGUGGUGACGGUAGUGGUAGAAGAAGCACCGGCUAACUACGUG